Molecule: non-coding RNA, 38 nt
Organism: Schistosoma mattheei
Lineage: Eukaryota; Metazoa; Platyhelminthes; Trematoda; Strigeidida; Schistosomatidae
Source: Rfam
UGCUGAGGAGUCCCAUACCAGGACGAAACGGCCGUCCA